CCGGUUCCGGUUCACGCCCACGACAGUCGAGGGCGACCCGGCGACC
The sequence is a regulatory RNA element, 46 nucleotides long. It matches the Rfam family "L31-Actinobacteria ribosomal protein leader". The record is from Rfam.